AGGUGUGGGUAGCGGAGAAAUUCCAAUCGAACUUGGAGAUAGCUGGUUCUCUCCGAAAUAGCUUUAGGGCUAGCCUCGAGGUAAAGAGUCAUGGAGGUAGAGCACUGUUUGGACUAGGGGCCCUUCUCGGGUUACCGAAUUCAGAUAAACUCCGAAUGCCAUGUACUUAUACUCGGGAGUCAGACUGCGAGUGAUAAGAUCCGUAGUCGAAAGGGAAACAGCCCAGACCACCAGUUAAGGUCCCCAAAUAUAUGUUAAGUGGAAAAGGAUGUGGGGUUGCUUAGACAACCAGGAUGUUGGCUUAGAAGCAGCCACCAUUGAAAGAGUGCGUAAUAGCUCACUGGUCGAGUGACCCCGCGCCGAAAAUGUACCGGGGCUAAACAUAUUACCGAAACUGUGGAUGAACCUCUUUAGAGGUUCGUGGUAGGAGAGCGUUCUAAGGGCGGUGAAGUCAGACCGGAAGGACUGGUGGAGCGCUUAGAAGUGAGAAUGCCGGUAUGAGUAGCGAAAGAAGGGUGAGAAUCCCUUCCACCGAAUAUCUAAGGUUUCCUGAGGAAGGCUCGUCCGCUCAGGGUUAGUCGGGACCUAAGCCGAGGCCGAUAGGCGUAGGCGAUGGACAACAGGUAGAGAUUCCUGUACCAGUGCUAAUUGUUUAACCGAUGGGGUGACACAGAAGGAUAGGGAAUCGCACGAAUGGAAAUGUGCGUCCAAGCAGUGAGUGUGAGAAGUAGGCAAAUCCGCUUCUCGCGAAGCAUGAGCUGUGAUGGGGAAGGAAAUUAAGUACGGAAGUUCCUGAUUUCACGCUGUCAAGAAAAGCCUCUAGGAAGAGUAGUACUGCCCGUACCGCAAACCGACACAGGUAGAUGAGGAGAGAAUCCUAAGGUGAGCGAGAGAACUCUCGUUAAGGAACUCGGCAAAAUGACCCCGUAACUUCGGGAGAAGGGGUGCUCUAUUAGGGUGCAAGCCCGAGAGAGCCGCAGUGAAUAGGCCCAGGCGACUGUUUAGCAAAAACACAGGUCUCUGCAAAACCGUAAGGUGACGUAUAGGGGCUGACGCCUGCCCGGUGCUGGAAGGUUAAGAGGAGUGCUUAGCUUCGGCGAAGGUACGAAUUGAAGCCCCAGUAAACGGCGGCCGUAACUAUAACGGUCCUAAGGUAGCGAAAUUCCUUGUCGGGUAAGUUCCGACCCGCACGAAAGGCGCAACGAUCUGGGCACUGUCUCAACGAGAGACUCGGUGAAAUUAUAGUACCUGUGAAGAUGCAGGUUACCCGCGACAGGACGGAAAGACCCCGUGGAGCUUUACUGCAACCUGAUAUGGAAUGUUUGUACCGCUUGUACAGGAUAGGUAGGAGCCGAAGAGACGUGUGCGCUAGCAUACGAGGAGGCAAUGGUGGGAUACUACCCUGGCUGUAUGACCAUUCUAACCCGCCACGCUUAGCGCGUGGGGAGACAGUGUCAGGUGGGCAGUUUGACUGGGGCGGUCGCCUCCUAAAGAGUAACGGAGGCGCCCAAAGGUUCCCUCAGAAUGGAUGGAAAUCAUUCGCAGAGUGUAAAGGCACAAGGGAGCUUGACUGCGAGACUGACAAGUCGAGCAGGGACGAAAGUCGGGCUUAGUGAUCCGGUGGUUCCGCAUGGAAGGGCCAUCGCUCAACGGAUAAAAGCUACCCCGGGGAUAACAGGCUUAUCUCCCCCAAGAGUCCACAUCGACGGGGAGGUUUGGCACCUCGAUGUCGGCUCGUCGCAUCCUGGGGCUGUAGUCGGUCCCAAGGGUUGGGCUGUUCGCCCAUUAAAGCGGCACGCGAGCUGGGUUCAGAACGUCGUGAGACAGUUCGGUCCCUAUCCGUCGCGGGCGCAGGAAAUUUGAGAGGAGCUGUCCUUAGUACGAGAGGACCGGGAUGGACACACCGCUGGUGUACCAGUUGUUCCGCCAGGAGCAUCGCUGGGUAGCUAUGUGUGGCAGGGAUAAACGCUGAAAGCAUCUAAGCGUGAAGCCCCCCUCAAGAUGAGAUUUCCCAUUUCUUCGGAAAGUAAGAUCCCUGAAAGAUGAUCAGGUAGAUAGGUUUGGAGUGGAAGUGUAGCGAUACAUGGAGCGGACAAAUACUAAUCGAUCGAGGACUUAACCAAAA
This 2125-nucleotide ribosomal RNA is filed under the name Listeria monocytogenes. RNAcentral's name for it is "partial 23S ribosomal RNA". It matches the Rfam family "Bacterial large subunit ribosomal RNA", at positions 807 to 2925 of the family's 2925-position model. Lineage: Bacteria; Bacillati; Bacillota; Bacilli; Caryophanales; Listeriaceae. The record is from RNAcentral.